UUUUCCAGACAAAACUUAAAGAAAACAAAACAAAAACGAAAAUAAAAAAAACAAAGCACAAAGCUAGUUUUGCGUGAUCAAGCUCCCAAAAACAGAACUCAGACCCAAAAAAAAAGGCUCCCAACCCAAGAACAGAACUUCUGACCCCAAAAAAAGCUCCAAAGAACAAGAACACAACACAGAGAAAAGAAAAACCGUAGCUCUUGAGAUGUCUGGAGGUCGAUCUGAUGAAGACACUGUGAAUCUCAAAGUUCAGUUCAACAAGGAUGGAGUUCAAACUUUUUUCCGGGUUAAACGAAGCACCAAACUGCACAAACUCAUGGAAGCAUUCUGUAAAAAUCGUUCCCUUGACCCCAAAUCAAUAGAAUUCACGUUUGAUAGCGUCCGACUCGAGAAGAACAAAACUCCUGAGCAGGAACGCACUACUAAGUCCAAGCGUGAACUAAAUAUUAUCUCCAACUUAAUCACCUUUUGGGUGGGAGAAUGCUCAAUGGACCUCUACAUGUACGGUUUUAACUCAAAAGGGCUUGGUGCAAUUAAUAGUGGACUACAGCUUGGAAUGGAAGAUGGUGAUCUGAUCGAUGCCCUUGUGUCCGGUGAUGGAGCUUAAAAAGUUAAAGCCAUCAUGAUGUAUAUAUGCAGGAAGGAGUUUGUGAAAAUUUGGAUUUUAUUUUCUACUGUUGAACUUUAUUAGAUAUUGAGAUGGGUGUUAGUUAUUUGGAAAAACAGUUUGAACAUGAACCAUAGGAUAACAGCAGUCAAAAAAACUUGCCAGUCCAGCCCAUUAGCCUUGGUGGCACUGGCCAGAGACGGGAGAUUCGAUCUUGCACCUCUUCCAACAUUGUGAAAAGAUCCAAGAGCUAGUACUGUGCUGUGUUUUCUGUUCUCAAGUCAUCUUGUUGCCUCUUAUAACGAAAGACUUGUAUUUUUACCCAUACAAAAAAGCCUUCAGUUUAGGAGGGGGUGAAUGGAAAAAAGGUAUACACCAUGGACAAAUUAAAAAAUCGCGCAACUUCGAAGGAGAGGGUUUCUGCAAGCUCUCUACAACAAAAGCGAAAAAAUAAAAGAAAACAAAUCGUGUCAUACAUGUACAAGUUGAGAUUCCAUAUGUGGAUUUCGG
This is a non-coding RNA of Prunus mume (Japanese apricot), 1120 nucleotides long. The record is from RefSeq and is a predicted model, not a curated record. Lineage: Eukaryota; Viridiplantae; Streptophyta; Magnoliopsida; Rosales; Rosaceae.